CAUUGUUUAUUGUAGGUGGUCCUGUCUCAUGCAAAAUGACACUAGUAACCCUGCCCCCCUCUACUGCGGGGUGUGCCAACGUGAGUACGACUACACUCGUGGCACAUUUUCUGACAACGGCAGCGCCAGAAAAAAUACAUCCAUUAACAUGCAAUAACUCUUUUCCUCACUCAAAAAUAUUACCAAAUUUUAAACUAUAAAACAGACACCACUUCUCUAUACUACACUUUUUUCUUGACUUGUUUUUUUUUUUAAUGAUUCAUAACACCAGGGUGAACACACACAAGUCAUAGAUUUUCAGUACUUCAUAAAAGCAGCUGUGAUGGCUUCACAUCUAAUUGACGUAGUGAAAUCAAAUGGGAAGCGCUAAAUAAUACAAAUCUAAUUCUGAGCUCAACAACAUUACAUCUUAUUAAACAUGCAUUUCUGAACACCAGGAAAAGAAGGACAGCUCUCAAACAAAUGGCAGGGGUACACUUUCUGCUGCAAUAUUUAGUUGUUGUUUUUUCCCAGUCAUAAAUAACAGACCUUUCAACCCCAGACAUGAGGAAUAACGCAUUCAGGAGCAUUUUUCUCCAUGGUAAUCUCAUUCAGAGUGAUGAAGCACUAGAUGAAAACAAAGUCCACCUUUAGACAUCACAAGCAUCACUUUUCCAGACGUGAAGCAGCAUAGAUAUUUGUCUAUCCAGGAAGGUAAAAGGGCUGGUCCGAACUGUUAGGAACUUUUGACAGAGACGUAGUGCAUGCUCUGGUUGUGAUAUAUAUUACAUUAGCCUUUGAAAGGCACUCUGUCAAUAGAAUGCUUUGAGCCUCAGUUCAGUAAGAGACUGGGUUAGUCCACUCCUGUUAGGAAAUCGAAUUGGUGUGUCAGUCAAAGCCCUGCUCUAAGUCACACCCUCCCUUCUUCGUGUACGCUGAUCACGUUGGCAUGCUCGGGGAAGGUUGUGUUCUCAUAUCGCAGAAGGUUUUGAAAAGGUUUUUGUACAGUGGUACGCCUUGGGCAGAGGAAAGGGGAUUCAAAUUUAAGGUAAAGCUACGCGGUCGUCCAUGUAGUCAGUUGACUUGCUCAAAAAUAUGCUUCAAGGUAAAAAACAUAAAUGUAUUAGCCGUAAAAUAAUGCCGCUUGUUGUGGGAUAAUAUUAUAAUGUUAGCUCCUUAGCCUAGUUACUGUUGUUGGCGCUAGCAAGAUAAUUAAGGCAGAUUAUGCAAUUAUUCCACAAAUUACAACAGUUCCAGGUUUUCCUAAUGACAUGCGUGACAUGCUUCAGUCCAAAUAUCAAAGGAUGAAGAAUUUCCCUGCCUGCUUUGGGGGGCAGAACUGCUCAACCCGCCGUCUUUUACUAUGGGAUGCCAACACAAGCGCGAACUUCCACCCAUCCAUUUUCUGAGCCGCUUAUCCUCACUGGAGCCUAUCCCAGCUAUCUUCGGGCAGGAGGCGGGGUACGCCCUGGACGAAUGUUGCGGUUUACUGAGACACGGUGAGACUGACCCGCUGUCAAGGUACAAAGCCAAUGAAGGGCUGCUCAUAAUAAAAGGUUGUGGAAUCUGAGGCGCUCCAGAAUGGUGGAAGCUGUGAGGGCAGCACGAGGAGAAGACCUGGAGUCAAUUAGUGUCACCAUCCUGGCAAGAACCGAGAGCCUGAUUAACGAUUAAUUUAUUGAAAGCCAAACGCCUGCGCUCUGUGAUAGCUGAAAGGAAGCCGAGUUUUCACAGUGUUUGAUGACUGCACACCGUGUCUGCUGGCACCAAUCUGCAAAUAAAGUUCUACUCCGAUCCACACUAGGUGCCCCGAGCCACCUCAGCUGAUUCUCAGGUGCCCGAGCUCCUCACCCUACGUCUGAAGAUUGUGAUGUAACAGUGGGGUUAUUGGACAUAAUACCAUCUCCCCACACUGAGCUUCUUCGCCCAUGACUUGGCUGCCAAACUGGGCGAAGAGCUACCACAGAUUCGAACUAUCACUUCAAAGCCAAAAGGCCAAUACGUGCUCGGUCAGGAGGCCGCUGUGUCGACAUUUGUAUGGGGUGUGUCAGAAAAGUUCCAGGAUAUAUUUUCCCCUGCAACGUUGGACGACAUCAGGAUGGCCGUGACUACAAAGCUGCGAAGGAGCCCCGAAGAAUAGAAGAGUUCAAAAGCCGACUAAAACAGACGGACUAUUUUUUGAAGAAAAGUCUUUUCUUGGAGCUGUCUGGUUUUGCGAUUUGGAGGCAGGAUGCACUAUAAAAAAAAAAUAUAUAUAUAUUUUUUAAAAAGCAUACAAGGCACAUGGAAAAUUAACAAAAACAAGUCAAAAAUAAAGAUACAAAGAAACACUGGGAAAAGAAACACACACCACUUGACCUUAAACUUGAGGUGACAGAUGAAAGCAACAGCAACAACAAUAAACAGACAGACUGAGAGAAACCGGGGAAGUAAAUACAAACAAACUAACGAGACAACGAGGCACACCUGGACAAGAGACGAGUGACUGAAGGGAGCUGAUUGGUAGACACAAGACAAUGAAAACAAGACAUAACAUGCAACAAAACUAUAAAUAAAAAAUAUAAUCCAAACAAUAACACAGUUUGUGACAGAAAUGAUCUCAAAGACCUCGGUGAAAGACCUAAGACGUCAUAUUUAAUUUAGAACACCAUAAAAUAAAAUGAUUAGCUUAAACCUGGAACCAGAAAUAAAAUAAGAAUAAUUUGGCUCGAUCCACAAAAAAAUCAGAUGUAGACUUUUGCAUUUGAACAA
This is a long non-coding RNA of Phyllopteryx taeniolatus (common seadragon), 2730 nucleotides long. RefSeq lists it as uncharacterized. The transcript is spliced from 6 exons. The record is from RefSeq and is a predicted model, not a curated record. NCBI's taxonomy places the organism in Eukaryota, Metazoa, Chordata, Actinopteri, Syngnathiformes, Syngnathidae.